GACGAACGCUGGCGGCGUGCCUAAUACAUGCAAGUAGAACGCACAGUUUAUACCGUAGCUUGCUACACCAUAGACUGUGAGUUGCGAACGGGUGAGUAACGCGUAGGUAACCUGCCUGGUAGCGGGGGAUAACUAUUGGAAACGAUAGCUAAUACCGCAUAAUAUUGAUUAUUGCAUGAUAAUUAAUUGAAAGGUGCAAUUGCACCACUACCAGAUGGACCUGCGUUGUAUUAGCUAGUAGGUGAGGUAACGGCUCACCUAGGCGACGAUACAUAGCCGACCUGAGAGGGUGAUCGGCCACACUGGGACUGAGACACGGCCCAGACUCCUACGGGAGGCAGCAGUAGGGAAACUUCGGCAAUGGACGAAAGUCUGACCGAGCAACGCCGCGUGAGUGAAGAAGGUUUUCGGAUCGUAAAGCUCUGUUGUAAGAGAAGAACGGGUGUGAGAGUGGAAAGUUCACACUGUGACGGUAUCUUACCAGAAAGGGACGGCUAACUACGUG
This 505-nucleotide ribosomal RNA is filed under the name uncultured bacterium. RNAcentral's name for it is "partial 16S ribosomal RNA". It matches the Rfam family "Bacterial small subunit ribosomal RNA", at positions 28 to 507 of the family's 1533-position model. The record is from RNAcentral.